This 1430-nucleotide long non-coding RNA is filed under the name Fragaria vesca (wild strawberry). RNAcentral describes it as "long non-coding RNA (FVES_LNC004883)". Lineage: Eukaryota; Viridiplantae; Streptophyta; Magnoliopsida; Rosales; Rosaceae. The record is from RNAcentral.
AAGCUUGCCCGGAUUGGUGGCCGGAGGAGGAAGUUCCGGCGAAGGGAAGCUCGGGGCAGCCCUUGCUUUCGGGCGGCACCGCUCUCUCACGGCGGCGCUAGGGCUCCUCUCACCGGUCUAGAAAUGUUGCUGGGAGGGAGACCGACCGAACGGGACCGGUCCGACGGCGAACGGAGGUCGGACGGCGGUGGGAGGACGGCCGGAAAUUUCCUGGGUGUAGAGAGAAGAAAAUCGGGUGGGAGGAGAGAGAAUCGGGAGAGAGGGAGAAGAGAAAGAAGAAAGAAAUGGGUUGGGCUCGGCCCAGCCGACCCAACACCCCUUUUUAACCCAAACUUCCAAAAUAAAAACACCCCGAAAAAUAAUACCCGAAUAAAAAUUACUUUUUACUAGCUAAAAUUUACUAUUUUUACCGUCGUCGUAUUUCCUUAAUACGAAUAAUCCUCCGAACAUAAUCGUCCCCGAAACCCCUCUAGGGACCAAUUAAACUAUUUACUCAAUAAUCGGGACGGUAAAAUUCUUAUUAUAAUCAGGCUAGUAAAUAAGGUAAAAAUAUAAGGGUCGGGAUGUGACAAGAGUAGUAGAACCUCAAGUACCAAAUCCUGCAACUCUCAACCAAUUUCAGAACCAAACAAGCAGAAGCUAUCGGCGGCGGACGUGGUCCACACAGCCUAAAACCCAGAUUUGUCAUCUAUCAUCCAAAAUGGAAUUCAAGCACAAGAACAUCAACUAAAUUAUCUUCCAAGGCUUCUAACAAUUACAAACUAGAAAUCUGAAACCCAAAACAUUACCAGCGCCGCCGUGCACAGCAGCCACGCAAUGUGGUCGACUGCCCAAAAUCCAUCUUCUUCCAAACUUAACCAAAUCUGAAUUCCAAAUAUAUAAACAGGUAGAGCUCGACGAGAAGAUCAAGUUUCAUUCCUCACUUGCCUUCGCCGGUGGCCGGAAAGCAUCAAACCGUCGCCGGAAAAUCCUAAAACUUCUUCUCUUCGAUUCUCCCUCCUCCGAGCUUCUCUUCGAAAACCAGGAACAUGGAAAGGUUCCUGAGAUCGAGAUGAAGCUAUCCAUACCAGUGAGAGGCGUCGCCGCUGCCGGAAUCGGAGAUACCCCGGCAAACACAGCCUAGCUCUCCUUCUCCACUUCGAAUCUCUCACUCUAGACUUCUUAUUUGAAAAUCAAUGGCAUGGACAUGACCACGAGAAUGAGAGGAAGCUGUCGCUACCAUUCUUUCUGCUCGUCGUCGCCGGAAAACGGAGAACCAGUCGGGUUGAUCCGCUGACUCUGUUCGGGUCGGGGAUGACCCGGUCUGGGUCUGAACUGAUUUUCUCCCUCCUUUCCCGAACCUUCCUUUUUCCUUUUAAUCUGUUGCUUAGGUCGGUUUAACCGACCCUUCUAGAACCUCCCUCUUCCUGUUUUAUAUAUAUAUCAUUUAC